RNAcentral lists this ribosomal RNA (253 nucleotides) under uncultured bacterium. RNAcentral describes it as "partial 16S ribosomal RNA". It matches the Rfam family "Bacterial small subunit ribosomal RNA", at positions 524 to 776 of the family's 1533-position model. The record is from RNAcentral.
UACGGGGGGGGCAAGCGUUGUUCGGAAUUACUGGGCGUAAAGGGCUCGUAGGCGGCCAACUAAGUCAGACGUGAAAUCCCUCGGCUUAACCGGGGAACUGCAUCUGAUACUGGAUGGCUUGAGAUUGGGAGAGGGAUGCGGAAUUCCAGGUGUAGCGGUGAAAUGCGUAGAUAUCUGGAGGAAUACCGGUGGCGAAGGCGGCAUCCUGGACCGACAUUGACGCUGAACGGCGAAAGCUAGGGGAGCAAACGGG